GGAAAGAACCUCAUCGGAAUAGGGGCCUGCAGAGUUCAGUAAGGGACUGUUUCGUUAGGUCGCGAAGCUCGGGAUCGUCUAAUUCCACACCCCACACACAUACCUUAGUCUCCGGUGGUCUUCUGUAGUGGGGAAAACGAGGUACCUGAGACAGAAUGGAUCAUUCAGCUUCCAGCCCGAAGACACCCAGCCCCUCACGCUGAUACCUUUUCCCUAGUUGUUACUUCCCUCUCCUUGGUCCUUACUCACCAUGUCUGGCUGGAGGCGACCCAGAUGCCAUGUGAUGGUCAUUUGAAGACAGGACUUCUGAAUAUCAGAUAAGGAAUUAUAGUCUCUUAGUUAUACAAUGGAGAAUAAGAGAAGUCCUGAGCUGGGCCUGGUGGCACAUGCCUGUAACCCAACACUUCAGAGGUUGAGGCGGGAAGAACAUGAGUUCAAGGCCAGCUUUCAUUACAAAGUCAGUCUGAGACCCAGCUAGGCUAAAUGACCCUGUUUCAAAACAAAGUCCUUCCCGGUGGUAGUGGUGCAUGCUUUUAA
Long non-coding RNA from Microtus ochrogaster (prairie vole), 537 nucleotides. RefSeq lists it as uncharacterized. Lineage: Eukaryota; Metazoa; Chordata; Mammalia; Rodentia; Cricetidae. The record is from RefSeq and is a predicted model, not a curated record.